UGGAUCCAGACCUUUAUUAUGGCUCAGGAUGAACGCUAGCUACAGGCUUAACACAUGCAAGUCGAGGGGCAGCGGGAUUGAAGCUUGCUUCAAUUGCCGGCGACCGGCGCACGGGUGAGUAACGCGUAUCCAACCUUCCGUACACUCAGGGAUAGCCUUUCGAAAGAAAGAUUAAUACCUGAUGGUAUGAUGAGAUUGCAUGGUAUCAUCAUUAAAGAUUUAUCGGUGUACGAUGGGGAUGCGUUCCAUUAGGUAGUAGGCGGGGUAACGGCCCACCUAGCCAACGAUGGAUAGGGGUUCUGAGAGGAAGGUCCCCCACAUUGGAACUGAGACACGGUCCAAACUCCUACGGGAGGCAGCAGUGAGGAAUAUUGGUCAAUGGACGAGAGUCUGAACCAGCCAAGUAGCGUGAAGGAUGAAGGUCCUACGGAUUGUAAACUUCUUUUAUAAGGGAAUAAACCCUCCCACGUGUGGGAGCUUGUAUGUACCUUAUGAAUAAGCAUCGGCUAACUCCGUGCCAGCAGCCGCGGUAAUACGGAGGAUGCGAGCGUUAUCCGGAUUUAUUGGGUUUAAAGGGAGCGCAGACGGGUCGUUAAGUCAGCUGUGAAAGUUUGGGGCUCAACCUUAAAAUUGCAGUUGAUACUGGCGUCCUUGAGCGCGGUUGAGGUGUGCGGAAUUCGUGGUGUAGCGGUGAAAUGCUUAGAUAUCACGAAGAACUCCGAUUGCGAAGGCAGCACACUAAUCCGUAACUGACGUUCAUGCUCGAAAGUGUGGGUAUCAAACAGGAUUAGAUACCCUGGUAGUCCACACGGUAAGCGAUGGAUACUCGCUGUUGGCGAUAUACUGUCAGCGGCUUAGCGAAAGCGUUAAGUAUCCCACCUGGGGAGUACGCCGGCAACGGUGCAACUCAAAGGAAUUGACGGA
This 924-nucleotide ribosomal RNA is filed under the name uncultured bacterium. RNAcentral describes it as "bacterial SSU rRNA". It matches the Rfam family "Bacterial small subunit ribosomal RNA", at positions 1 to 917 of the family's 1533-position model. RNAcentral also lists the same sequence under 1 other name. The record is from RNAcentral.